RNAcentral lists this ribosomal RNA (486 nucleotides) under uncultured bacterium. RNAcentral's name for it is "bacterial SSU rRNA". It matches the Rfam family "Bacterial small subunit ribosomal RNA", at positions 8 to 526 of the family's 1533-position model. The record is from RNAcentral.
AGAGUUUGAUCCUGGCUCAGAACGAACGCUGGCGGCGCGCUUAACACAUGCAAGUCGAGCGGUCCCUUUCGGGGGGCAGCGGCGGACGGGUGAGUAACGCGUGGGAACCUGCCCUGGAGUUCGGGACAACCGCGGGAAACUGCGGCUGACACCGGAUACGCCCUCGAUCGGUGACGAUGGGGGGGAAAGGUCACGCUCUGGGAUGGGCCCGCGUCCGAUUAGCUUGUUGGUGGGGUAACGGCCCACCAAGGCUGCGAUCGGUAGCCGGUCUGAGAGGAUGAUCGGCCACACUGGGACUGAGACACGGCCCAGACUCCUACGGGAGGCAGCAGUGGGGAAUCUUGGACAAUGGGCGCAAGCCUGAUCCAGCGACGCCGCGUGGGUGAUGAAGGCCUUCGGGUUGUAAAGCCCUUUUCCUGGGGACGAUGAUGACGGUACCCGGGGAAUAAGCACCGGCUAACUCCGUGCCAGCCGCCGCGGUAAUAC